GCCACCAUGGCGCAGGCACAAGCGUGUGGCUGUAAACAAGGUUGUGGGUUCGAUUCCCACUGGGGGAA
RNAcentral lists this transfer RNA (68 nucleotides) under Heliconius melpomene (postman butterfly). RNAcentral's name for it is "tRNA HMEL005320". The record is from RNAcentral. Lineage: Eukaryota; Metazoa; Arthropoda; Insecta; Lepidoptera; Nymphalidae.